CUGACUUGGGUAUAGGGG
This 18-nucleotide small RNA is filed under the name Arabidopsis thaliana (thale cress). RNAcentral's name for it is "Ath_wt_00783". The record is from RNAcentral. Lineage: Eukaryota; Viridiplantae; Streptophyta; Magnoliopsida; Brassicales; Brassicaceae.